This 253-nucleotide ribosomal RNA is filed under the name uncultured bacterium. RNAcentral's name for it is "partial 16S ribosomal RNA". It matches the Rfam family "Bacterial small subunit ribosomal RNA", at positions 524 to 776 of the family's 1533-position model. The record is from RNAcentral.
CACGUAGGGCACAAGCGUUGUCCGGAAUUAUUGGGCGUAAAGAGCUCGUAGGCGGUCUGUUACGUCUGCUGUGAAAACCCAGGGCUUAACCCUGGGCUUGCAGUGGAUACGGGCAGACUAGAGGCAGGUAGGGGAGAAUGGAAUUCCUGGUGUAGCGGUGGAAUGCGCAGAUAUCAGGAGGAACACCUGCGGCGAAGGCGGGUUGCUGGGCUGACACUGACGCUGAUGCGCGAAAGCUAGGGGAGCGAACGGG